UACGUAGGGACCAAGCGUUGUUCGGAUUUACUGGGCGUAAAGGGCGCGUAGGCGGCAAUUCAAGUCAUCUGUGAAAUCUCCGGGCUUAACCCGGAACGGUCAGAUGAUACUGCUUUGCUAGAGUGCGGAAGGGGCAAUCGGAAUUCUUGGUGUAGCGGUGAAAUGCGUAGAUAUCAAGAGGAACACCUGAGGUGAAGACGGGUUGCUGGGCCGACACUGACGCUGAUAGCGCGAAAGCCAGGGGAGCAAACGGG
RNAcentral lists this ribosomal RNA (254 nucleotides) under uncultured bacterium. RNAcentral's name for it is "partial 16S ribosomal RNA". It matches the Rfam family "Bacterial small subunit ribosomal RNA", at positions 524 to 776 of the family's 1533-position model. RNAcentral also lists the same sequence under 1 other name. The record is from RNAcentral.